GCUUGCUUCUAUGACGUUAGCGGCGGACGGGUGAGUAACACGUGGGCAACCUGCCUGUAAGACUGGGAUAACUUCGGGAAACCGAAGCUAAUACCGGAUAGGAUCUUCUCCUUCAUGGGAGAUGAUUGAAAGAUGGUUUCGGCUAUCACUUACAGAUGGGCCCGCGGUGCAUUAGCUAGUUGGUGAGGUAACGGCUCACCAAGGCAACGAUGCAUAGCCGACCUGAGAGGGUGAUCGGCCACACUGGGACUGAGACACGGCCCAGACUCCUACGGGAGGCAGCAGUAGGGAAUCUUCCGCAAUGGACGAAAGUCUGACGGAGCAACGCCGCGUGAGUGAUGAAGGCUUUCGGGUCGUAAAACUCUGUUGUUAGGGAAGAACAAGUACGAGAGUAACUGCUCGUACCUUGACGGUACCUAACCAGAAAGCCACGGCUAACUACGUGCCAGCAGCCGCGGUAAUACGUAGGUGGCAAGCGUUAUCCGGAAUUAUUGGGGGGUAAAGCGCCGCCCAGGCGGUUUCUUAAAUUCUGAUGUGAAAGCCCACGGCUCCACCCUGGAAGGUCAUUGAAACUGGGGAAACUUGAGUGCAGAAGAGAAAAGCGGAAUUCCCCGUGUAGCGGUGAAAUGCGUAGAGAUGUGGAGGAACACCGGUGGCGAAAGCGGCUUUUUGGUCUGUAACUGACGCUGAAGCGCGAAAGCGUGGGGAGCAACCAGGAUUAGAUACCCUGGUAGUCCACGCCGUAAACGAUGAGUGCUAAGUGUUAGAGGGUUUCCGCCCUUUAGUGCUGCAGCUAACGCAUUAAGCACUCCGCCUGGGGAGUACGGUCGCAGACUGAAAUCAAAGAAUUGACGGGGGCCCGCACAAGCGGUGGAGCAUGUGUUUAAUUUGAAGCAACGCGAAGAACCUUACCAGGUCUUGACAUCCUCUGACAACUCUAGAGAUAGAGCGUUCCCCUUCGGGGGACAGAGUGACAGGUGGUGCAUGGUUGUCGUCAGCUCGUGUCGUGAGAUGUUGGGUUAAGUCCCGCAACGAGCGCAACCCUUGAUCUUAGUUGCCAGCAUUUAGUUGGGCACUCUAAGGUGACUGCCGGUGACAAACCGGAGGAAGGUGGGGAUGACGUCAAAUCAUCAUGCCCCUUAUGACCUGGGCUACACACGUGCUACAAUGGAUGGUACAAAGGGCUGCAAGACCGCGAGGUCAAGCCAAUCCCAUAAAACCAUUCUCAGUUCGGAUUGUAGGCUGCAACUCGCCUACAUGAAGCUGGAAUCGCUAGUAAUCGCGGAUCAGCAUGCCGCGGUGAAUACGUUCCCGGGCCUUGUACACACCGCCCGUCACACCACGAGAGUUUG
Molecule: ribosomal RNA, 1352 nt
Filed under: Priestia megaterium
Lineage: Bacteria; Bacillati; Bacillota; Bacilli; Caryophanales; Bacillaceae
Description: bacterial SSU rRNA
Rfam family: Bacterial small subunit ribosomal RNA
Source: RNAcentral